This 710-nucleotide ribosomal RNA is filed under the name Massilia sp. RNAcentral describes it as "bacterial SSU rRNA". It matches the Rfam family "Bacterial small subunit ribosomal RNA", at positions 72 to 780 of the family's 1533-position model. Lineage: Bacteria; Pseudomonadati; Pseudomonadota; Betaproteobacteria; Burkholderiales; Oxalobacteraceae. The record is from RNAcentral.
CGCGGGGCAACCUGGCGGCGAGUGGCGAACGGGUGAGUAAUAUAUCGGAACGUACCCAGAAGUGGGGGAUAACGUAGCGAAAGUUACGCUAAUACCGCAUACGAUCUACGGAUGAAAGUGGGGGACCUUCGGGCCUCAUGCUUUUGGAGCGGCCGAUAUCUGAUUAGCUAGUUGGUGAGGUAAAGGCUCACCAAGGCGACGAUCAGUAGCUGGUCUGAGAGGACGACCAGCCACACUGGGACUGAGACACGGCCCAGACUCCUACGGGAGGCAGCAGUGGGGAAUUUUGGACAAUGGGCGCAAGCCUGAUCCAGCAAUGCCGCGUGAGUGAAGAAGGCCUUCGGGUUGUAAAGCUCUUUUGUCAGGGAAGAAACGGCUGAGGCUAAUACCUUCGGCUAAUGACGGUACCUGAAGAAUAAGCACCGGCUAACUACGUGCCAGCAGCCGCGGUAAUACGUAGGGUGCAAGCGUUAAUCGGAAUUACUGGGCGUAAAGCGUGCGCAGGCGGUUUUGUAAGUCUGACGUGAAAUCCCCGGGCUCAACCUGGGAAUUGCGUUGGAGACUGCAAGGCUGGAGUCUGGCAGAGGGGGGUAGAAUUCCACGUGUAGCAGUGAAAUGCGUAGAGAUGUGGAGGAACACCGAUGGCGAAGGCAGCCCCCUGGGUCAAGACUGACGCUCAUGCACGAAAGCGUGGGGAGCAAACAGGAUUA